UGAACUUCAUCAUAAUGCAGAUGCCUUGACGGAGGACAGUGAAAAGCAAGUGGAGUUUGGGAUUGGUGGUCUUUGCAAUUGUUGUCUUGAUAAAGAAAUCAAGCAGCAAGUUAUUGACCAUGGUGGUGUUGCUCUUGUUAUCAAUUGUUUGUCAAGGUAACUGAUUAUAGUUUAACUGACUUUAAUUGAUAAAAAACAAUUCAAUGAACAGCGAACAAACGCCAAAGAAAAAAGUUACUUAUGUCAGUGACGGUUUUCAGUAUACAGAAAAAACAGUGUCAUUACCGCUUUUUGCAUUGCUACGCGGCCACCCCAGACAAAAAUCGCGACGUGCACUUUGCAAUAGACUACCGUCAAUCAAACACGCGUUUUGAUCGGCCCGGAUAGGCCCGGUGAGUGUGGCUCAUAAUACUUGUAAACGAUCGAUAAGUUUUGGCGCCUUUCGAAUCACACAUGCGUGUAAAUGAUGUCAACUUAUUUGAUUGACGGCAGUCUAUUUCAAAAUUGACGUCGCGAUUUUUUUCUGGGGUGGCUGCGUGGCAAUGCAAAUGGCAGUAAAGUGCCUAUGACCUUUAUUUUAUUAUUUUGUUAUAUAAAAAUGUAAGCUAUUCUAAGAAACAUGUUGAAAGAAUUUUUUGAUACUCAAGCUUCUUUCAGUUUUUUUCGAGCAGUCAAACUCCAGCCGCAUGAAAUGAUAACCGAGGGGACUGGGCUGUGAUGUCAAAGGAGGAAGCUGGUUUUGGAUGCGUCCUUAUUCUCUCUAGAUUUCACUAAUAUUUAUGACCAAUUUGUCGUUUUUUACUCUUCCAAAAGCCGUCAUUGUUGUGGCUAGAAGAGGUUAAGGACUUCAAAAUUUAGGAAUAAAAUUAUUUUUGAGGUAUUUUAAGAAAAAGAGAAGCAGUUAAACAGAACCUAGGAAAAACCUCACAUUAGGUUGUCACACGCAGAAUAAAGUGUAAUAAAGUAGCUUCAAAAACUU
This is a long non-coding RNA of Actinia tenebrosa (Australian red waratah sea anemone), 979 nucleotides long. The record is from RefSeq and is a predicted model, not a curated record. Lineage: Eukaryota; Metazoa; Cnidaria; Anthozoa; Actiniaria; Actiniidae.